UCAGGUGGCCGCAGAGAAUAGGCCCAAGCGACUGUUUACCAAAAACAUAGGUUUCUGCUAAGUCGCAAGACGAUGUAUAGGAGCUGACGCCUGCCCGGUGCUGGAAGGUUAAGGGGAUCUGUUAGAGCAAUCGAAGCAGUGAACUUAAGCCCCAGUAAACGGCGGCCGUAACUAUAACGGUCCUAAGGUAGCGAAAUUCCUUGUCGGGUAAGUUCCGACCCGCACGAAAGGCGUAACGAUUUGGGCACUGUCUCAACAACAGACUCGGUGAAAUUGUAAUUCCGGUGAAGAUGCCGGAUACCUGCGACAGGACGGAAAGACCCCAUGGAGCUUUACUGUAGCUUGACAUUGGGUCUUGGUACUACAUGUACAGGAUAGGUGGGAGGCUUUGAAACCAGGACGCCAGUUUUGGCGGAGCCAUCCUUGGGAUACCACCCUUGUAGUACUGGGACUCUAACCAUAGGCCAUGAAUCUGGUCUUGGGACACUGUCAGGUGGGCAGUUUGACUGGGGCGGUCGCCUCCCAAAAGGUAACGGAGGCGCUCAAAGGUUCUCUCAGUACGGUCGGAAAUCGUACGUAGAGUGUAAAGGCAAAAGAGAGCUUGAUUGCAAGACAUACAGGUCGAGCAAGGAUGAAAAUCGGACUUAGUGAUCCGGUGGU
This 660-nucleotide ribosomal RNA is filed under the name Clostridioides difficile. RNAcentral describes it as "bacterial LSU rRNA". It matches the Rfam family "Bacterial large subunit ribosomal RNA", at positions 1769 to 2427 of the family's 2925-position model. Lineage: Bacteria; Bacillati; Bacillota; Clostridia; Peptostreptococcales; Peptostreptococcaceae. The record is from RNAcentral.